UCACUUUAGCGAGACUGCCGGUAAUAAACCGGAGGAAGGUGGGGAUGACGUCAAAUCAUCAUGCCCCUUAUGACCUGGGCUACACACGUGCUACAAUGGCUGGUACAACGAGUCGCAAGUCGGUGACGGCAAGCUAAUCUCUUAAAGCCAGUCUCAGUUCGGAUUGUAGGCUGCAACUCGCCUACAUGAAGUCGGAAUCGCUAGUAAUCGCGGAUCAGCACGCCGCGGUGAAUACGUUCCCGGGCCUUGUACACACCGCCCGUCACACCACGAGAGUUUGUAACACCCGAAGUCGGUGAGGUAACCUUUUAGGAGCCAGCCGCCUAAGGUGGGAUAGAUGAUUGGGGUGAAGUCGUAACAAGGUAACCGAAAA
Molecule: ribosomal RNA, 373 nt
Filed under: uncultured bacterium
Lineage: Bacteria
Description: bacterial SSU rRNA
Rfam family: Bacterial small subunit ribosomal RNA
Source: RNAcentral